GUCAAAAUUAAUUAAAGGAACUCGUUUGUUAAUCGACAAUACUCGUUAUUCUUCACUUUUUUACAAGCUUAUAUACCGCCGUCAAAAUUGUUAUUAAAAUAAUAAUUUCAUCUACCCAACUAAUGUCAGGUCAAGGUAUAGCCAAUAAAAAAGAUCAAAUAAGUUACUAUAAAACCUAUUUAUAGAAUUAAACCAAACUCACAUAAAAAAGGAUUUAAUAUUAAUACUUCAAUACUAAUUUAGUAUGAACUAAUAUUAACC
RNAcentral lists this ribosomal RNA (261 nucleotides) under Dysdera crocata. RNAcentral's name for it is "partial 12S ribosomal RNA". Lineage: Eukaryota; Metazoa; Arthropoda; Arachnida; Araneae; Dysderidae. The record is from RNAcentral.